Long non-coding RNA from Cydia amplana, 189 nucleotides. RefSeq lists it as uncharacterized. NCBI's taxonomy places the organism in Eukaryota, Metazoa, Arthropoda, Insecta, Lepidoptera, Tortricidae. The transcript has 2 exons. The record is from RefSeq and is a predicted model, not a curated record.
CGAAGCGAAAGGAGCAAUCUGCAUCAAUACACCUGGUGGUUACCGAUGCGAUUGUCCCCACAAUUGCGUAACCGAGUGGUCACUAACUGGAAUACGCUGCACGGAUUGUGACACUAAUGUGGCUAAACAAGAAACUACUGCUACUACUGAUCAACCGACGGUGGUAUUGAUCGGCGGACCGGGACAAAA